This 322-nucleotide ribosomal RNA is filed under the name Paraphysomonas vestita. RNAcentral describes it as "partial Bacterial large subunit ribosomal RNA". It matches the Rfam family "Bacterial large subunit ribosomal RNA", at positions 230 to 555 of the family's 2925-position model. The record is from RNAcentral. Lineage: Eukaryota; Chrysophyceae; Chromulinales; Paraphysomonadaceae.
AGUGAUUCCCUGAGUAGUGCCGAGCGAAAAGGGAAUAGCCCAAACCGGGUCGGCGUGCCGACGCGGGGUUAUAGGACUGCGAUUAGAAAGUGUUAUCAAAUCGAACCCUUUGGAAAGAGGGGCCAUAGCAGGUGAAAGCCCUGUAGAUAGAAAUUAACAUGGACGAGCAGGAUCCUGAGUAAUGCGGGACCGGAGGAAUCUUGCAUGAAGUUGCCAGCACCAUCUGGUAAGGCUAAAUACUCCUCAGACACCGAUAGUGAACCAGUACCGUAAGGGAAAGGUGAAAAGCACCCCGAACAGGGGAGUGAAAUAGUACCUGAAA